RNAcentral lists this long non-coding RNA (942 nucleotides) under Elaeis guineensis (African oil palm). RNAcentral describes it as "long non-coding RNA (EGUI_LNC031814)". The record is from RNAcentral. Lineage: Eukaryota; Viridiplantae; Streptophyta; Magnoliopsida; Arecales; Arecaceae.
AUCCUGGAGGUCAGUAAACGUCUGAUUCAGAUGAAAGCCAAUGGCACAAAGUUGCUUCACUUUGGCCUCUUGGAUCUCUUUUUGGCGUUCUAGUCUUGUUGAGUCAUCAGUGAGUGCUUGAUCAUGAUGCAAGGAGGGAGAAGGUUAGAUUGGAUGGUGGAUAACCUCCAUAAUACUUUUUCAAUCAUCUCCGAUAAGGAUGCCUCUUAUCAUCAUUUUUGUUUAUACUUUACUGAGUCGGAUAUCUACUAGCCAACAUGGUUGAUCAAGACCAUUGACUUGAUCAUCGAUACCCCUAAACUCUCGAGGGAGACAAUCGAGGGGUUGAUGCUUCUAGAAGAUGAGAAGUAUCUCCGAGUAAUGAUAGUGGGGAAGCUUGUCAGCUUCGAUUAUAUCGCGAUGGUUGAGAUAAGCAUCCAGGUUCUAAGGUCUUCAUUUAUUACAUCUGAUUCUUCUUGUUAUCUUGACUUAUCUCUUUGAUUAUAGUACACCAUGCCAUCUGGCCAUUAGAGCUAUCCUUUUGGUCUACUUAUAAAGGAUAGUGGCAGCAGUGCAUGAGGUUUGUAAGGUCGAGUGGGGAAGGGCUUUAGUGGAGUCAGAGCUAGCGAUAGCUCAAGACACAAAGGAACAAACUGAGGAGCAAGCUUAUCUUUCUCAAAAAAAAAGCACCAUACUUCAAAGCUGAGCUCUUCAAGGCAUGGAGGAGGCUCAAGGAGGUGAGGAAGGAAUUGAAGGAUAUGGCAGCUCAACUCGAGGAGGAGAUUACUUAGCUUGAGGAGGCAAUGGUGGAGGUGGAGAGCAUAUUUUCUCGAGUCCAAGAGAAAUUCACCUAGAUCAAGAGCUAGGCAAUUUGAGCUAGAAGCGGCUUGUCGAGGUUGAAGAGAGGGCCAUUUGAGCUAAGGAGUGGACAAUCAUGGUCCAAAAAAAGGCUUGGUAGGAAGU